GUUGGCUUAGAAGCAGCCAUCAUUUAAAGAAAGCGUAAUAGCUCACUGGUCGAGUCGGCCUGCGCGGAAGAUGUAACGGGGCUAAACCAUGCACCGAAGCUGCGGCAGCGACACUGUGUGUUGUUGGGUAGGGGAGCGUUCUGUAAGCCUGUGAAGGUGGCCUGUGAGGGUUGCUGGAGGUAUCAGAAGUGCGAAUGCUGACAUAAGUAACGAUAAAGCGGGUGAAAAGCCCG
This 233-nucleotide ribosomal RNA is filed under the name Salmonella enterica. RNAcentral's name for it is "partial 23S ribosomal RNA". It matches the Rfam family "Bacterial large subunit ribosomal RNA", at positions 1100 to 1332 of the family's 2925-position model. RNAcentral also lists the same sequence under 1 other name. Lineage: Bacteria; Pseudomonadati; Pseudomonadota; Gammaproteobacteria; Enterobacterales; Enterobacteriaceae. The record is from RNAcentral.